This 433-nucleotide ribosomal RNA is filed under the name uncultured bacterium. RNAcentral describes it as "partial 16S ribosomal RNA". It matches the Rfam family "Bacterial small subunit ribosomal RNA", at positions 29 to 507 of the family's 1533-position model. The record is from RNAcentral.
AACGAACGCUGGCGGCAUGCCUAACACAUGCAAGUCGAACGAGACCUUCGGGUCUAGUGGCGCACGGGUGCGUAACGCGUGGGAACCUGCCCUUAGGUUCGGAAUAACUCCCCGAAAGGGGUGCUAAUACCGGAUAAUGUCUUCGGACCAAAGAUUUAUCGCCUUUGGAUGGGCCCGCGUUGGAUUAGCUAGUUGGUAGGGUAAAAGCCUACCAAGGCGACGAUCCAUAGCUGGUCGGUGAGGAUGAUCAGCCACACUGGGACUGAGACACGGCCCAGACUCCUACGGGAGGCAGCAGUGGGGAAUAUUGGACAAUGGGCGAAAGCGUAAUCCAGCAAUGCCGCGUGAGUGAUGAAGGCCUUAGGGUUGUAAAGCUCUUUUACCCGGGAUGAUAAUGACAGUACCGGGAGAAUAAGCUCCGGCUAACUACGUG